GCCAGGGUACUACGAGCAAAGCUUAAAACCCAAAGGACUUGACGGUGCCCUACACUUCCUAGAGGAGCCUGUCUCAUAAUUGAUUAUCCCCGCUAAACCUCACCACUCUUUGCCUCUCAGCUUGUAUACUUCCGUCGUCAGCCAACCACAUGAGUGAAAUUCAGCAAGCCUAAUGUCUACUCAUCAAAACGUCAGGUCAAAGUGCAGCUAAUAGAGUGGGAACAGAUGGGCUACACUUUCUAGUAUAGAAAACACGAAAAACUGUGUGAAACCAUAGUCAGAAGGUGGAUUUAGAAGUAAAAAGAAAUCAGAGCGUUCUUUUUA
Molecule: ribosomal RNA, 324 nt
Filed under: Phrynopus sp. KU291633
Lineage: Eukaryota; Metazoa; Chordata; Amphibia; Anura; Strabomantidae
Description: partial 12S ribosomal RNA
Rfam family: Bacterial small subunit ribosomal RNA
Source: RNAcentral